GAAUGUAUAGAUCGGUGGUAGAGCACGUGCUUAGCAUGCAUGAGGUCCUGGGUUCAAUUCCCAGUACCUCCU
RNAcentral lists this transfer RNA (72 nucleotides) under Camelus bactrianus (Bactrian camel). It matches the Rfam family "tRNA". From Rfam's summary of the family: Transfer RNA (tRNA) molecules are approximately 80 nucleotides in length. The record is from Rfam by way of RNAcentral. RNAcentral also lists the same sequence under 2 other names. Lineage: Eukaryota; Metazoa; Chordata; Mammalia; Artiodactyla; Camelidae.